CAAUAGCGUAUAUUUAAGUUGCUGCAGUUAAAAAGCUCGUAGUUGGAUUUCGGGUGGGAAUGGCCGGUCCGCCGUUUCGGUGUGCACUUGCUACGCCCACCUUGCUGCCGGGGACGUGCUCUUGAGUUCACGCUCGGGACACGGAGUCGGCGAGGUUACUUUGAGUAAAUUAGAGUGUUCAAAGCAGGCCUACGCUCUGAAUACAUUAGCAUGGAAUAACACGAUAGGACUCUGGCCUAUCUUGUUGGUCUGUAGGACCGGAGUAAUGAUUAAGAGGGACAGUCGGGGGCAUUCGUAUUUCAUUGUCAGAGGUGAAAUUCUUGAUUUAUGAAAGACGAACUACUGCGAAAGCAUUUGCCAAGGAUGUUUUCAUUAA
RNAcentral lists this ribosomal RNA (376 nucleotides) under uncultured eukaryote. RNAcentral describes it as "partial 18S ribosomal RNA". It matches the Rfam family "Eukaryotic small subunit ribosomal RNA", at positions 592 to 976 of the family's 1831-position model. The record is from RNAcentral.